AAGGCUUGACCUCAANUCAGGUAAUACUACCCGCUUGCCUAAGUU
This 45-nucleotide ribosomal RNA is filed under the name Pisolithus tinctorius. RNAcentral describes it as "partial 28S ribosomal RNA". The record is from RNAcentral. Lineage: Eukaryota; Fungi; Basidiomycota; Agaricomycetes; Boletales; Pisolithaceae.